Molecule: long non-coding RNA, 795 nt
Filed under: Cucumis sativus (cucumber)
Lineage: Eukaryota; Viridiplantae; Streptophyta; Magnoliopsida; Cucurbitales; Cucurbitaceae
Description: long non-coding RNA (CSAT_LNC002311)
Source: RNAcentral
GUUGCGGAGUUGCGGAGGUUAGGGGUUUUAAGAGAGAGGUUUCGCCGGAGUUUGAUUGUUCAUGGCUCUGGACGGGGACGGAGGAGGAAUGGCGUAGUUGGAAUGCUGAAGGAAGUUGUUGCUCCCUACGAGGCAGCCAUGGAGGAACUGAAGAAGGAGGUGAAAGCCAGAGAUGUGGAGGUUGAGAAUCUUAAGGAGAAGCUUAAGAACUCUAUGACACUUGCUAAAGGCAGCAGCUAUGGCGGCAAGAAAGGAAGAUCUCAAUCAAAGAGGAAGGUCAGCUGCAGUUUUGGUCAAGGUAUGAGAUAAGAUAACCGCUCCAAUUCUUCAUGUCUAAUCAUAAUCGUAAACAUUAUGAAUCUCUAUGUUUAGAUUCUAUGAUCUACGACACCCCGCAUUGCAUAAUCAGAAUGAUUUAACGUGCAUUAAAUGGUUUAGGUUUAAGGUUUUGAAGUGAAUUACUUGAUUUUGCUAUACUGCUAUAACAAUUCAACAGGAAAGAACUUAGGAACGAACCCUAUUCAUAAUUAAUGGAGUUGAAGAUAAACUUUUACCCUUUUUAGUCGAUUGAAUUGAAUCUUUGAGACCAAUUUAUGGCAGUGGCGGCAUCCCCUGUUCCUGAGCUGUUCGAGGCCACAAUGAGCCAAGUCAAAGAAGCUUCAAAGGCCUUCACAUCGCUCUUGCUUUCCCUUAUGCGUUCUGCUCAUUGGGACAUUGCAGCUGCAGUCCGUUCCAUAGAAUCCGCCAUAGCUGAGAGUGACAACACCUACCUUGAUACUGUUGCUACUCCUCACC